This is a long non-coding RNA of Sinocyclocheilus grahami, 1087 nucleotides long. RefSeq lists it as uncharacterized. The transcript has 4 exons. NCBI's taxonomy places the organism in Eukaryota, Metazoa, Chordata, Actinopteri, Cypriniformes, Cyprinidae. The record is from RefSeq and is a predicted model, not a curated record.
AUCUUUGGUGCUGCAGCUGCAUGUCAUGAAUUGAAUGAAAGCAGGCACUUGAGCAACUAUGUGUGCACCCAAUAAAAAGCACAAUGUAGGAGCAUUAGUAUGCUAAUGAGGUGCGGGGCGACAGGUGGCCCGCUAGACAGCUCAAUUAAGCAGCUCGUUAAAGGCCAAGCUAACGAAGCGGCCUGCACUGCAAGCCUCAACAAACAAUGUGACUGUGCAGGCUACAAAUUGGUUUCCUGAACACUCUCCCUGACUGCCAUUGGUUUGAAAACAUAUAGCCCUGACCCAGUGUUCCUGUAUCAGGCUGAUCAGUAUGCAGAACAAUGUUUUGAUAGCACCUCAAGGCCAAGGUGGAUCAACCAUAUGCCCAUGGACAUGCACACUCAAUGACAAAGGCGGAUACCAACAGGUCCUCUCUGACACAAAGCGGCGUGGGGCUGAGGGAGGCGAAGGGUGCAUCUUAACCUGAGACGUCCACACACACACACACACCGUAAAUAUUCUCACACACACCCCACUGCAUGCCACCAACACAGCAAUAUGGAGAUGCAACAUUGAUACAAACCCAGCCUGGGGAGUUUGUGAAGAUGAUGCUUUGUUGUGUUGUUUUUGAAAGGUCUUGGUUUGUGCGGGUGAUGUUAUUGUGUAUGUAAAAUGUAUGGAGGAAGAGGGAGGGACAGUAGGGAAGACAAGCACUUUUUUGGAGGGGGCCAAUCUGUUGCAGCUCUGGAUGAAGUCUUGUGAUGGAGAGACAGUGUGUUAAGCGACAUAUGUGACACAGAAGGACAAAAGGAUUAUGGUCCUCUUCUCGUUAUCCGUGCCUUUGGACAGUGGGAUUAUCAUCCGGGGAGUGAAGAUCUCGGGCCGCUAAGCUUCAGUGCGGCCCGGUUCCUCAUCUCUUGUGUGGGGUGGGAAAGCAGGGGUGAAGGGGCAUCCCUGGAGAGCGGGCCGCUAUCAGGAUUUACAUAUCCAUCAGCGAUCAGAGCUAUGUUCUCUUUCUUUCACUUUUCUCUCUUCUUUUUCCUCUGUCUUGCAUACACAUGCUCGAACAUGCUGAGCUGUUUCAUUUGACUCUUUCUGAGUUAGA